Molecule: ribosomal RNA, 468 nt
Filed under: uncultured bacterium
Lineage: Bacteria
Description: partial 16S ribosomal RNA
Rfam family: Bacterial small subunit ribosomal RNA
Source: RNAcentral
GACGAACGCUGGCGGCGUGCUUAACACAUGCAAGUCGAACGGAAAGGCCCUGCUUUUGUGGGGUGCUCGAGUGGCGAACGGGUGAGUAACACGUGAGUAACCUGCCCUUGACUUUGGGAUAACUUCAGGAAACUGGGGCUAAUACCGGAUAGGAGCUCCUGCUGCAUGGUGGGGGUUGGAAAGUUUCGGCGGUUGGGGAUGGACUCGCGGCUUAUCAGCUUGUGGGUGGGGUAGUGGCUUACCAAGGCUUUGACGGGUAGCCGGCCUGGGAGGGUGACCGGCCCCAUCAGCACUCAGAUACGGCCCAGACUCCUCCGGGAGCCAGCAGUGGGGAAUAUGGCACAAUGGGCGGAACCCGGAUGGAGCAACGCCGCGUUCGUGAUAGCGGCCUUCUGGUUGUAAACCGCUAUCGCCUGUGACGAAGCGUUAGUGACGGUAAUGGAUAAAGAAGCACCGGCUAACUACGUG